This 292-nucleotide unclassified non-coding RNA is filed under the name Hevea brasiliensis (rubber tree). The record is from RNAcentral. Lineage: Eukaryota; Viridiplantae; Streptophyta; Magnoliopsida; Malpighiales; Euphorbiaceae.
GUCCUUCGACCCCAAAGAAGCACCCUCUUGUUUGGUUGCUGUGAAAAUCUCCUCCUCCUUAUGGUCAGGUUCAUGAUCCAAGUGAUUCUGAUGAGAGUGAGAGUGAUGAUCAUGAUGAUGAUGACAACAAUGAGAUGAAUGAGAGUGGUGGCUAUGGCCAAGCCACAUGACCAUAAACAAGUUAAGAGUGAAUCCAAAAGCUGCAAUGGCAAACAUAAGGAAACCAUCCACCUUAGUCUUUUGGCUAAGAAUCCGGUCGAUCGCCUCGUAGAUUAAGACCCCAGAAAUCAGC